Molecule: transfer RNA, 94 nt
Filed under: Pseudomonadota bacterium
Lineage: Bacteria; Pseudomonadati; Pseudomonadota
Also listed under: 2 other names
Description: tRNA-Ser
Rfam family: tRNA
About the family: Transfer RNA (tRNA) molecules are approximately 80 nucleotides in length. Their secondary structure includes four short double-helical elements and three loops (D, anti-codon, and T loops). Further hydrogen bonds mediate the characteristic L-shaped molecular structure. tRNAs have two regions of fundamental functional importance: the anti-codon, which is responsible for specific mRNA codon recognition, and the 3' end, to which the tRNAs corresponding amino acid is attached (by aminoacyl-tRNA synthetases). tRNAs cope with the degeneracy of the genetic code in two manners: having more than one tRNA (with a specific anti-codon) for a particular amino acid; and 'wobble' base-pairing, i.e. permitting non-standard base-pairing at the 3rd anti-codon position.
Source: RNAcentral
GGAGAGAUGCCCGAGAGGCCGAAGGGGCACGACUGGAAAUCGUGUGUUCCGACUAAAAUCGGAACCGAGGGUUCAAAUCCCUCUCUCUCCGCCA